GCCGAGGUAGCUCAACGGUAGAGCAGCGCAUUCGUAAUGCGCAGGUUGUGGGUUCAAAUCCCAUCCUCGGCUUCA
RNAcentral lists this transfer RNA (75 nucleotides) under Nitrospirae bacterium RIFCSPHIGHO2_02_FULL_40_19. RNAcentral describes it as "tRNA-Thr". It matches the Rfam family "tRNA". From Rfam's summary of the family: Transfer RNA (tRNA) molecules are approximately 80 nucleotides in length. Their secondary structure includes four short double-helical elements and three loops (D, anti-codon, and T loops). Further hydrogen bonds mediate the characteristic L-shaped molecular structure. tRNAs have two regions of fundamental functional importance: the anti-codon, which is responsible for specific mRNA codon recognition, and the 3' end, to which the tRNAs corresponding amino acid is attached (by aminoacyl-tRNA synthetases). tRNAs cope with the degeneracy of the genetic code in two manners: having more than one tRNA (with a specific anti-codon) for a particular amino acid; and 'wobble' base-pairing, i.e. permitting non-standard base-pairing at the 3rd anti-codon position. The record is from RNAcentral. Lineage: Bacteria; Pseudomonadati; Nitrospirota.